Homo sapiens (human) is the source of this 957-nucleotide long non-coding RNA. NCBI's taxonomy places the organism in Eukaryota, Metazoa, Chordata, Mammalia, Primates, Hominidae. The record is from Ensembl.
AGAUCAAAAACUAUACGGAGCAUUUGGUGAGGUACCAUUUAUGUGAGGCAGUCCCAAAUGUUUGGCACAUUUAUGGGAAGCAUCCUGAUGAAGGAUUUACAGUGGUUUCUUCUAACUGGGAUCACUCCUAGGUCUAGUACUAAUAAAGAGAAGAAGAUCGGAGCAGCUUUGACAUGAAUGGAUCCAUCUGGCCUGGUCUCCAUACAAGUUUCCUAUGAGUUUGGUGAGUGUGGAUCCCCAUGGAUCAUAAUCCACCUGGGAAAUCAGAUGGAGUCUGACUUCUCAUCUUGCAUCAAUGUGACUGGUAGGGAUGGGUCCAUGCUCUGGAGCUGGACUCUGUGGGUUUGAAUCCUGGCUCCUCUGUUUCUGCCCUGAGAGAACUUGGCUAAGUUCCCUUACUUCUCUGUGCCCCAGAGUGCUUAUCUCUAAAAUGAAUUAUAAUGUACUGUAAAUGGGAAAAUUAAUAUAGUGUGCCUAAUAGCAGUGAGCAUUCAGCAAGUAUUAGCUGUGUGUGUGGCUGUAACAGCCAAGGACCGGCUGGAGGAAUGCGGUGACUCUACAGCAGUGCACCUCUGAGUCCUAGUGAGACAAGCGACUGUGGUCCAGGUCUGGAAGGAGGCUGGGCAGCGGCUUUUCUCAUCUCUACAGUUGGGAACUAGCACUCAUCCUUCUCAGGAAGAGGGAGAGAGUGGACUGAAUAUUUCUCACAAAGCAAUGACUGCCUCAUUAAAAAAAAAAGUAAUCAUAUAAGAAAUAUGUGAAGAUAUUGUGAAAAAAUCAAAUAAAACAAGUAAAAAGUAUCUUUAUAUUCCCCUUCCCUUCCCACUGCUCUCUUCAGAGGUAACCACUAUUCACAGUCUGGGAUGUGCCCUUCCGGACUUUGUGGAUGUGUAUGGGUGUAUGGCAUACGUAAUUUUGGUUACUGGGUUGUUAACUGAAAUAAAAUCAUUCUACAUA